GCUGAACCAGGGCAAACCCACCGAAAGGUGGCGACGCAAAGUUUCCGGUCUACCGGGUGCCCAGCGCCCCACGACAGCGGGGCCGCCGCG
RNAcentral lists this non-coding RNA (90 nucleotides) under Methyloversatilis sp. RAC08. RNAcentral's name for it is "c-di-GMP-I riboswitch aptamer". It matches the Rfam family "c-di-GMP-I riboswitch aptamer". Rfam says of the family: GEMM was predicted in a large-scale screen for bacterial structured RNA regulatory elements. Genes associated with GEMM are involved in a diverse array of functions, including chemotaxis regulation, signal transduction, secretion and chitin. Lineage: Bacteria; Pseudomonadati; Pseudomonadota; Betaproteobacteria; Nitrosomonadales; Sterolibacteriaceae. The record is from Rfam by way of RNAcentral. RNAcentral also lists the same sequence under 1 other name.